CCUACGGGGGGCAGCAGUGGGGAAUAUUGCACAAUGGGGGAAACCCUGAUGCAGCGACGCCGCGUGAGUGAAGAAGUAAUUCGUUAUGUAAAGCUCUAUCAGCAGGGAAGAAACUGACGGUACCUGAGUAAGGAGCCCCCGCUAACUACGUGACAGCAGCCGCGGUAAUACGUAGGGGGCAAGCGUUAUCCGGAUUUCAGGGGUGUAAAGGGAGCGUAGACGGCAAUGCAAGUCUGGAGUGAAAGGCGGGGGCUCAAACCCCGGACUGCUCUGGAAACUGUACGGCUGGAGUGCGGGAGAGGUAAGUGGAAUUACUAGUGUAGCGGUGAAAUGCGUAGAGAUUAGGAGGAACACCAGUGGCGAAGGCGGCUUACUGGACUGGAACUGACGUUGAGGCUCGAAAGCGUGGGGAGCAAACAGGAUUAGAUACCCGAGUAGUC
Molecule: ribosomal RNA, 440 nt
Filed under: uncultured bacterium
Lineage: Bacteria
Description: partial 16S ribosomal RNA
Rfam family: Bacterial small subunit ribosomal RNA
Source: RNAcentral